UUCCAGACUCCUACGGGAGGCAGCAGUGGGGAAUAUUGCACAAUGGGGGAAACCCUGAUGCAGCGACGCCGCGUGAGCGAAGAAGUAUUUCGGUAUGUAAAGCUCUAUCAGCAGGGAAGAAAAAAAUGACGGUACCCGAGUAAGAAGCACCGGCUAAAUACGUGCCAGCAGCCGCGGUAAUACGUAGGGGGCAAGCGUUAUCCGGAUUUACUGGGUGUAAAGGGAGCGUAGACGGCAGUGCAAGUCCGGAGUGAAAGCCCGGGGCCCAACCCCGGGACUGCUCUUGGAACUGCGUGGCUGGAGUGCAGGAGGGGCAGGCGGAAUUCCUGGUGUAGCGGUGAAAUGCGUAGAUAUCAGGAGGAACACCGGUGGCGAAGGCGGCCUGCUGGACUGCAACUGACGUUGAGGCCCGAAAGCGUGGGGAGCAAACAGGAUUAGAUACCCGUGUAAG
Molecule: ribosomal RNA, 451 nt
Filed under: uncultured bacterium
Lineage: Bacteria
Description: bacterial SSU rRNA
Rfam family: Bacterial small subunit ribosomal RNA
Source: RNAcentral